This 2412-nucleotide long non-coding RNA is filed under the name Callithrix jacchus (white-tufted-ear marmoset). RNAcentral describes it as "lncRNA (ENSCJAG00000085869.1)". Lineage: Eukaryota; Metazoa; Chordata; Mammalia; Primates; Cebidae. The record is from RNAcentral.
ACCCAUGCUCACCACCUAAGGAAAGGCAGUGUCUCAUCCCAUGCUCACCACCUAAGGAAACGCAGUGUCUCACCCCAUGCUCACCACCUAAGGAAACGCAGUGUCUCACCCCAUGCUCACCACCUAAGGAAACGCAGUGUCUCAUCCCAUGCUCACCACCUAAGGAAAUGCAGUGACACACCCCAUGCUCAACACCUAAGGAAAUGCAGUGACUCACCCCAUGCUCAACACCUAAGGAAAUGCAGUGACUCACCCCAUGCUCACCACCUAAGGAAAUGCAGUGACUCACCCCAUGCUCACCACCUAAGGAAACACAGUGACUCACCCCAUGCUCACCACCUAAGGAAAUGCAGUGACUCACCCCAUGCUCAACACCUAAGGAAAUGCAGUGACUCACCCAAUGCUCACCACCUAAGGAAAUGCAGUGUCUCACCCCAUGCUCACCACCUAGGGAAACGCAGUGUCUCAUCCCAUGCUCACCACCUAAGGAAAUGCAGUGACUACACCCAUGCUCACCACCUAAGGAAAUGCAGUGACUCACCCCAUGCUCACAACCUAAGGAAAUGCAGUGUCUCACCCCAUGCUCAACACCUAAGGAAAUGCAGUGUCUCACCCCAUGCUCACCACCUAAGGAAAUGCAGUGUCUCACCCCAUGCUCGACACGUAAAGAAAUGCAGUGACUCACCCCAUGCUCAACACCUAAGGAAACGCAGUGACUCACCCCAUGCUCAACACCUAAGGAAACGCAGUGACUCACCCCAUGCUCACUACCUAAGGAAACAGAGUGUCUCACUCCAUGCUCACCACCUAAGGAAAUGCAGUGUCUCACCCCAUGCUCACCACCUAAGGAAAUGCAGUGAUUCACCCCAUGCUCGACACCUAAGGAAACGCAGUGACUCACCCCAUGCUCGACACCUAAGGAAACGCAGUGUCUCACCCCAUGCUCUACACCUAAGGAAACGCAGUGAUUCACCCCAUGCUCACCACCUAAGGAAAUGCAGUGACUCACCCCAUGCUCACCACCUAAGGAAAUGCAGUGAUUCACCCCAUGCUCACCACCUAAGGAAAUGCAGUGACUCACCCCAUGCUCACCACCUAAGGAAAUGCAGUGAUUCACCCCAUGCUCGACACCUAAGGAAACGCAGUGACUCACCCCAUGCUCGACACCUAAGGAAACGCAGUGUCUCACCCCAUGCUCUACACCUAAGGAAACGCAGUGUCUCACCCCAUGCUCAACACCUAAGGAAACGCAGUGUCUCACCCCAUGCUCACCACCUAAGGAAAUGCAGUGACUCACCCCAUGCUCACCACCUAAGGAAACGCAGUGUCUCACCCCAUGCUCACCACCUAAGGAAACGCAGUGUCUCACCCCAUGCUCACCACCUAAGGAAAUGCAGUGACUCACCCCAUGCUCACCACCUAAGGAAAUGCAGUGACUCACCCCAUGCUCACCACCUAAGGAAACGCAGUGACUCACCCCAUGCUCACCACCUAAGGAAAUGCAGUGUCUCACCCCAUGCUCGACACCUAAGGAAAUGCCGUGUCUCACCCCAUGCUCACCACCUAAGGAAAUGCAGUGACCCACCCCAUGCUCGACACCUAAGGAAACGCAGUGACUCACCCCAUGCUCACCACCUAAGGAAAUGCAGUGUCUCACCCCAUGCUCGACACCUAAGGAAAUGCAGUGUCUCACCCCAUGCUCGACACCUAAGGAAAUGCAGUGACCCACCCCAUGCUCGACACCUAAGGAAACGCAGUGACUCACCCCAUGCUCACUAUCUAAGGAAAUGCAGUGAUUCACCCCAUGCUCACUAUCUAAGGAAAUGCAGUGUCUCACCCCAUGCUCACCACCUAAGGAAAAGCAGUGUCUCCCCCCAUGCUCACCACCUAAGGAAAUGCAGUGACUCACUCCAUGCUCACCACCUAAGGAAAUGCAGUGACCCACCCCAUGCUCACCACCUAAGGAAAUGCAGUGUCUCACCCCAUGCUCAACACCUAAGGAAAUGCAGUGACUCACCCCAUGCUCACCACCUAAGGAAAUGCAGUGUCUCACCCCAUGCUCACCACCUAAGGAAAUGCAGUGUCUCACCCCAUGCUCAACACCUAAGGAAACACAGUGACUCACCCCAUGCACGUGGUCUUACCUGGGGUCUCUGGCAGCAGGACCAGGAGGAAGGUGUGGGACUAUGGAGCCUGGGAGGUAGGAAGGGGAGUAGUGAGAGGUCUCUACUGCAUGAGAGGCCACCUGCACUGAGCUGUGUGGCAUUGCGGCUCAGCCUCUCCAGGCCCCCAGCCAUGCACUGGAGUUGUCCCUUUGAGGUGGGAGGGUGCAGCAUUGGCGUCCAGCCCCAAUUUCCAGGGCUGGAGGGUUGCUUUCCACUCCUGCUUGCUAGGGUUUUGGAGAAUGCCUGA